GGGCGAUUGGUUUAGUGGUAUAAUACCCCCUUAGCAUUGUUGGUUGCUCUCGCAUUACCCCACCAGCGUGGGGGUGGUCCAGGGUUCGAUUCCCUGAUCGUCCA
Paracoccidioides lutzii Pb01 is the source of this 104-nucleotide non-coding RNA. The record is from the annotation of a RefSeq genome assembly.